RNAcentral lists this ribosomal RNA (426 nucleotides) under uncultured bacterium. Its description in RNAcentral is "bacterial SSU rRNA". It matches the Rfam family "Bacterial small subunit ribosomal RNA", at positions 354 to 796 of the family's 1533-position model. The record is from RNAcentral.
GUGAGGAAUUUUCCGCAAUGGGCGAAAGCCUGACGGAGCAAUGCCGCGUGAAGGAUGAAGGCCUAUGGGUUGUAAACUUCUUUUCUCAGAAAAGAAUUAUGACGGUAUCUGAGGAAUAAGCAUCGGCUAACUCUGUGCCAGCAGCCGCGGUAAGACAGAGGAUGCAAGCGUUAUCCGGAAUGAUUGGGCGUAAAUCGUCUGUAGGUUGUUUAAAAAGUAUUCUGUCAAAGAUUAGGGCUUAACCCUAGAUAGGCAGAAUAAACUUUUAAGCUAGAGUGUGGUAGAGGCAGAGGGAAUUCCCGGUUGAGCGGUGAAAUGCGUAGAUAUCGGGAGGAACGCCAAAGGCGAAGGCACUCUGCUGGGCCAAUACUAACACUGAGAGACGAAAGCGAGGGGAGCAAAUGGGAUUAGAAACCCGGGUAGUCC